RNAcentral lists this ribosomal RNA (253 nucleotides) under uncultured bacterium. Its description in RNAcentral is "partial 16S ribosomal RNA". It matches the Rfam family "Bacterial small subunit ribosomal RNA", at positions 524 to 776 of the family's 1533-position model. The record is from RNAcentral.
GACAGAGGGUGCAAACGUUGUUCGGAAUUACUGGGCGUAAAGCGCGUGUAGGCGGCCAAGCAAGUCGGAUGUGAAAGCCCUCGGCUCAACCGGGGAAGUGCACUCGAAACUGCAUGGCUAGAGUCCGGAAGAGGAGAGUGGAAUUCCUGGUGUAGCGGUGAAAUGCGCAGAUAUCAGGAAGAACACCCGUGGCGAAGGCGGCUCUCUGGGACGGUACUGACGCUGAGACGCGAAAGCGUGGGGAGCGAACAGG